Molecule: transfer RNA, 90 nt
Filed under: Oryzomonas rubra
Lineage: Bacteria; Pseudomonadati; Thermodesulfobacteriota; Desulfuromonadia; Geobacterales; Geobacteraceae
Description: Geobacter sp. Red88 tRNA-Ser
Rfam family: tRNA
About the family: Transfer RNA (tRNA) molecules are approximately 80 nucleotides in length.
Source: RNAcentral
GGAGAAGUGGCCGAGUGGUCGAAGGCGCUUGACUCGAAAUCAAGUGAACGUUUACUCGUUCCUAGGGUUCGAAUCCCUACUUCUCCGCCA